GGAGCAUCGGGAAAUGCCGCCGGGGCGGUCGGAGCCGGCCUCGUGCCGAGCCGGGCCCCGCGGGAGGGAGGGUCCGCGGCACCGGGGAGCCCCGGGGCUGUAAGCCGGCACUGCCGGGAGCAGGAGGAGCCGGGGCACGGGCCGUGCUGAGCGAUUUGUGUCAGGGAGGUGGAGAUUCGGACUUCAUUCUUCUCUUCCCUGAGCCGUCCUCACAUCGAAUUUUGUUUCGGUGUAAUGCAGGUGGAGUUCUUAGUCCGAGGUCACCGCGGGAAGGGUAUGGUACAGCGUGGUUGUGUGCGCUGGUUGGUCCCGUGGCGGUUCAUCAGCUCAGCUCUGCAGAAGGACGUUUUUUUGAGGAUCAAUUCUUUAUCAAGAGGAAGAGAAGUAUAGCUCCUUCUGUCAGUGAGAACCAGGAUGGACUGGUUUUGAAGGAUGAUACAACAGUCUGCUCGUUGCCAUAUUCUGAAAUCCUGCAUGCCUUGUUAAAAACAACCUGUAAUUUUCUAUGCUCACAGGCAGUGUAGAUCUUUAGCUUUGAGCCCUUCCUUGCUUCGCUCUGGCACUGCCUCAUGACAAUCACAGAUGAUCUUCUGUACGGGUUGAAAGAAGGGAUGCAUUAAAUUUUGCAACAGACUGUAAAAUGUUUAUUAAACAGAUGUGUAGCUAUGGAAUUGAAAUGGGAUUGAGAAGUGGAGACAUUUUGUUAGUUGCCAGAGUCAUUGUGUUGUGCCUAACACUGGGUUCAUUUUUGCUGGUACACAGUGUCUCCUGCAGAUUUCUUUUAUGCCACUGGGAGGUUUGUGAGAGGUGUUGGGAUGAAUGGCUAAUCCUGUACUGGGAUCCUGACAAACAAUGAGAUGCUGAAUCCUGGAACUGUGUCUGAAGUGGCCAUAACUCCUGCUGGGGAAGAAUUAGGAGAUCUGUUUGCUUUCUGCAUUAGUUUGGGCUGUUCCUGUUGCUCAGCUUAACACAAGCUGAGUCCCUUCAUCAGAUCUUCACUUGAGUCCUGGGUGUUGAUCUGCGUCCCUAUAGGCCAGCAAAAACCCGUGGUCGAGCUAAGAGCUGAGCAGGUGCCAGUGCUGUUACUGUGCUCGAUGCCUGUGGGUAUAGUGAGCUUGUGGACAGGAGCACUUUGCUGUUCAGAUUCAUUGGGAAUCUUAAUGUCUCAGGAAAAAUCUGAAGAAGCCUUGGUCACCCUUAGCUAAAGUUUAGUAUUACAAACUCCAGAGUCUCAGUAGAGGCUUCUUUUGUUGUCAGUACUCCGUCUUGAAGUGGAAGCAGGAUGUGUGGACAGGGCAAGUGUAAAUGCAGGGCUUCAAGAUUCACUUGUAACGUGUUCUUACAUAGUUAAUUGGUUCUGUUUGGUUGUAUCUGUAUUUGUGGUUUGUGUGGUGCAGUCCUGCAAAAUGAGGAAAGCAGGAGGGGAUGCAGAAAUAGCGAUUAAGGAAUCCAGAGCACUGUGUAGUUGCAAAGCGGCAUGAAGCCUCGGCUCCAUUCACUAUAGGUAGCAUGGUGUGUCCUGCAGCUGUGGGUUGGGACCUGACAGAGUGUUUAGAAAAACUGCACAGCAGUUAUUUGUACUUGGGCAGACAGCAGUUCUUUUUUAAUCUUAGGGGUCUUCAGCAGGUCUGAAAGAAACUCCCGCAGCCAUAUCGUGUCUGUUGUGUUCUGUGGGGACUUGUUUGUCAUGCGUGCUUGAUCUUCAUCCUCAGAUUCACACUUUUCUUCAGAAGGGACUUCCAGAUGACCAGAGCGAUGUUUGAGUUUACUGUUUGGUCAAAAGCACAGGAGGCACUUUGCUGGGUCCUUACCCUUUUUAUAGAUGGGAGUUGGAGCAGUGUAGAGGUAGGUUCCUUUGAGGUCUUCACUGAAGCGUUUAUGCAGAAGCAGCACGGUCCGUCUUGUUUAGCAAUGUCUCAAAGAUGCUGCUGAGCAAAUGUUAUGCUACACCACACUUCAUGCAAGGUCCUAAGCCAUGGAAUCUUGGUUAUUGAGCGUAUGGUUGCUAGCCUGGCUGGCUCGGGGCUGUUUGGAAAACAGUGACUUGCUGUUCUUCAGACUGCACCCAACUAAGCAAGGCAGCAUCUAAGGCACAUUCCAGUCUAAAAUAUGGUCUGAUUGAAGGCAAAAAGAAAUACGAAUCAUGCAGUUAUCCGUGUGACAAAGUUGAGUAUAGCUGACUGCAGCACCUCUCCUACAAAGGAAGGCUAAGAAAGCUGGAGUUAUUUAGCCUGGAGAAGACUCUGGGAAACAUCACUGUUGCCUACCAGUACUUAAAAGGAGGCCUGCAGGAACGUUGGAGAGGGCCUCUUUACCAGAGUGCAUAGCAAUGGGACAAGACGUGACAGUUUUAAACUAAAAGAGGGUAGAUUUAGANACAACCCUUUCUGUAAAGAAGUUUUUUCCUGAUAGAAAGCUGACUUUUAUUGGC
This 2431-nucleotide long non-coding RNA is filed under the name Pavo cristatus (Indian peafowl). Its description in RNAcentral is "lncRNA (ENSPSTG00000007674.1)". The record is from RNAcentral. Lineage: Eukaryota; Metazoa; Chordata; Aves; Galliformes; Phasianidae.